Molecule: long non-coding RNA, 2884 nt
Organism: Rhineura floridana
Lineage: Eukaryota; Metazoa; Chordata; Lepidosauria; Squamata; Rhineuridae
Exons: 3
Source: RefSeq, a predicted model, not a curated record
UCGGUUGUAACUUCCUCGUUGAGCCAUUUGCUCUCGGCCACGGCUGGGACGCUGAUACUCAGAGAGUUGAAGAGCCAAAAGGGAUUUUUUCUUUUUACUUUGAUCAGCCUGCUGCUGAUCGAAAAUCUGGAUGGCGGCUUUAACUACAGCAGUUGCAGGCAUCCCUGCCCAUCCUAGCAUAACAGUCUCAAGAUGUUUGCGCACAGGGGAUUGGAGCCCAUUUACAAAAGUUCCAACUACCAAGCCAUUCAAUUCUGCAUUUGUCAUAUUGACUCCUCCAUGGUGCCUAAGGAUCAGGCACAAGCGGGUGUAAUAAUCACCUGGAUUUUCUUUCUCGCCCUGUUUACAGAGCUCUACCUGGUUCCAGUCUAAUUUUGUUGGCUGUACUUCCAGGCAUGCCUUAGCCAAGCGGGUGCGUAAGUUGGCUAAGUGAAUUCUCUCAGCUUGGGUAGAAUGCCCUGGAUCUUCAGAUGGCCAUGCAAGCCCUGCAUUGCCUUCCCCUACUCCUGUUUUUGCUAUUAAAGCAGAUUUUUGUUCUGGGGACAGGAGUCCAGAAAGUAAUUGAUUCAUAUCAGCCCAAGUUGGAUUAUAAACACUUAUGAUUUGUUCCAGUUUUUCUUUAAACUCAUUAGGAGCCUCUCUGAGUUUUGGAAAGGUAUUAGACCAGUUCAUAAGAUCUGCAACUGUCCAGGGUACAUGCACAAAAGUCACUUGCCCUCCCGCAGAUGAGGGGGGGUAUUGACGAAGUGGGUAUAUGCCGGCCGGCUGGAUGUUGGGGAAGCACCCAGGAAAAUUUUCUGGAUUAAAAUGAAUAGAGGUGUAAACUAGUACCCUCAGAGGAAACAGAUAUCCCUUCCUGCUCCUUCUCUAAUCUCAGUCUUCCUCAGCAUGGCUCCCUGAGGAGAAGCACAUAUGCAGCUGACAUCUCUUCUGCAGCAUCUCCUAUCUAGUCAGUCAAAUGAAAGCUACACCCUCAAGGGAGGAUCUUGGAAUAUCCCUGAAGGAGCCUACCCCACAGGGGACUUCCAGGUACACUUCAAUGAGAAGCAACUUUUUUCAAAAAUAUUCACAAUCCAUUCCAAUCACUGUGUAUAAUUUUGAGAUCUCCCCACUCAGGGAUGCAGCAGGUGCUCUUUCAGAGCCCACCCACCCGACAAAUGGCUAUUUCUGGCACAAAAAACACUGCUAGUUCCUCUAACAAAGUUGGCUUCCAUUCAAAGUGAGAGCAGCAUGGACAGAAUGGACUUUUUUGUGACAUCUACCUAUCAACAGAUAUCUACACUGUGCACUGGGGAGCAAGCAAGCAGAAACACACAGCUAGUUUAAAAAACAGUCUUCGUUUCCCCCCAAAACCAAAGAGCACACCCUUGGAGCUCUUUGCUGGCUACAUUCCAUUUGUUAAACUGACCUUGUUGGGUCAUAAUGUUAAACUAGCACUACAGAAAAGAACCUUAGUGUCCCUCUAGACACCCUUUUUAUUGUGUAUUCAUGACGACUGUGCUCAUGAUACUAUUGGGGCAAUGAUACAUGAUCCUGCUUUCAAAACUGUUUGUGCCUGGGAUGGACAUACUGCUUUGUUUCCAAUCAGUGCAUGUCCUGUGGCUUCCUCCUGAAAUCCUGUAGUUUCUUAUACCACAAGGUUCUUUUUAGGUGGGGGUGUCCCACUUUUGUACUGCUGUAAUGCAAGAGUGCUCCUCCAGAUGGCAAUAAUGUGGUAACCCAGGAGAAACAUCACAGAACUACUAAUAGAGCAGAAUGAUGUGUGGGCGGUCCACUAUAAAUCCACCACCAAUGCAUUAUUAUUGUGUCAAUGAAGGGUUGCAAAAUACAUUGGCAAACAAACAAACCAAAAAACGCACAGCCAGUCUGGAGGAGCCCUUCCCUCCUCUCCUCCGAAUUUUAGAUCUCACACAUUUUGUUGCCUGGAAAAGAUACAAACCCAAGGGCAUCAACUACAUCGUAGACUACAGCAAAGAAAACUAUUCUGGAUCUACACACUUAAUACAAAAGUACCAACAGGUCUUAAUCAAGAUGUGAACUGGAUGGGGAUGAAUUAGAAGAUAUUUGUGUAGGAAUGUAUAACGAAUUUGUAUAUUUAUAAGGUUAUAUUAUGUCUAUAGAUUGGCCAUUGUAUUUUAAUCAUUAGCUUUGUUACAUUAAGCAAUACUGCCUGUGAUGGAUGUUUGGGAUAUCCCUUUAAAACUUUUUUUCUUAUCUAGAAAGACAUCUGCAAAGCUUGUUAAAAAGAAAUGGCUGUGUGCUUUUACAUUAAGAAUGCUGGGAUAUAGCAGAGUUACAGCAUAUUAAUUUAAAAAGUUGUGUAGAUUUACAAAAUAAAUAAUUUUAUUAAAUUGGUGAGUACUGUAUGCUGGUCAUACCACAGCUUUUUUAUUUUAAUUAAAUUGAGUAUAGAAUGUAUUAGAUUUCUACUGUGUAUAUAUUUGCUUUUUAUUACAUUAAGUUUAAAUUGGAAGGACAGUCUUGCAAUGCUCACAGAGUUGGAGAGUAUCUGCUAUAUAUAUUUUGGUGUGGCAUUCAAGAAAUCUCCAGAUCUUAUUUCUGUAGUUUUAAAUGGUGAGUUUGUAUAAACAGUAUAAAGAUUUUUUAUUUAGAUUAAUAUUAUAUUUCCAGUAUUUAAAUAUUAUAUGUUUUAUCUUUGCAGGAGUUGUGCUGUGAAUUGUAUUGUUAUAUAGAUUUGUGCUGAAUUGUAUAUUUGUUGUUUGUACAUUGAUUGACCACUGAAGAAGACUUUGUCAAAGCACGUUUGGAGUAAAAUAUUGACUUCCCAUUUGUCAAAGAUCAAAUCAGUUAUAAGUCUAUAAUAUAUAACAAUCCUGUCUCUUAAGUCAUAUUAUAAAAUCACUUUCCUCCAGUAGUUAUCUUA